AUGGCGAGAAGGUGGCAGGUCUGGGGCCGGCCCGACGGCAGCCAACUCUGGAUCCCCGCCCCCGACCCCGACGCGCCGCCGCCGCCGCCCGCCGCGGCCCCGCCUCUUCCUCCGCCGGGGCGCGCCGCGGGGACAGCCGCCGCUUCAUUUGAGGACGCGCAGGUCAAAGGCCGGGGCGCUGCUGACGGAUGCCGCGUCGAGUCCAUGGCCGACCUCCUCGUCCAAGCGCGGAACAAGCUGCUCGAAGGUGAUGGGAUGGCCGGAGCAACCGGGGAUGCAGGAAAAGGCAAGCUGUUCUGCACUGGAUCGGGGAGACCAGUGUCCCUCAGCGAGAGGGCUAUAAGGAAGGCCAGGGCGUUGGUCGGGGAGGAUGUGGAGAAGGCUGGUAUUAAGAGAAAGCAAUCAUUUGGCGAUGUACCUGAUGUAGAGGGCGGAUUGAGAGAAAUGGGCGCCCCAUUUAGAGGUGGAACCAUGCCCCCAUUGUUCCAAACUGGGUCAGGAAAAGCGGUCUUGCCGGGCAGGAACUCAAUCCAAAAGGCAAGAGCUAUUUUAGAAGAUGUUGAUAGUGCUGCUGGUGCCGCACAACCAAUGUUCCGUACUGGAAUGGGUAGGGCGGUUCCUGUGAACCGGACCCUUAUUGACAAGGCAAGAGCUGUUUUGGAGGGACAAACAGCUGUAGAACAAGGUCAUUAUGAUGAGAGUGUGGACGGCAUGGAACAGUUUCCAUUGUUCCAAACUGGUUCAGGAAGAGUUGUAUCAGUCAGUUCAGCAUCUGUUCAGAAAGCUAAGUCUGUGUUGAAGGAUAAUAAUACAAGCAAGGAAAAUACAGAGAGUUUUGGUAGGCCUGACCAUACAGAGAGUUUUGGUAGGCCUGACCAAACUGGUUCAAGAAGACCAGUCAUGAUCAGCGAAAGAUCCAUUGAGCGAUCUAUAGAUGCGGUGAAUGAGGGAGAUGCGGAAAAGAGUGGACAUUGGGAUACUGGUUGCCAGUUCCCAAUGUUCCAAACAGGAUUAGGGAAGCCUGUUGCUGUGAGCUGGAACUCAGUUCAGAAGGCAAGGGCAGUAUUGGAGGAAGAAAAAAUUAAAACAACUGGACAUGGAGAUAGCAGUUUUUGCGCCACAACUCUUCAAAGUGAAACGCCAAGGUCUGUUUUGAUGAGUAGCAGUUUGAUCAUGACUGAUAGAAGUGUUACACCGAAUGGAGAUAGUGCAGUGCAAGAGAAAAAUCACGAGGAUGGCAACCACUUGCCGUUGUUUCAAACUGGGUCAGGGAGGUCAAUUGCUAUAAGUAAGAGCUCAUUUAAGAGGGCAACUGCAGUUCUGGAGCCAAGGAAUAUUACAAAGGAAUUGGAAGAUGAAGCUCAUUUAGAUGGUGGCCAUGAUACUCCCAUGUUCAAAACUGGAUUAGGAAGGUCUAACUUAGCAAGUGAUGGCUGUAGAACUGAAUUGUGUAUCUUAGAAGCUGAAGAAGCAGUCAAAAGUGUAAACAAUUACAACAGAGAAGCCUUUGUUGAAGUGCCAGCGUUCCAAGCUGGGAUACAAACGUUUGUACCCCAAAACAGAAGUUCAAGUCGUAAGGCCAGUAUGCUUUUGGAGCAACGAAACUUCACGGAGAAAGGAUACAAAGACUCUGGAAGUCAACUGCCAAUGUUUCGAACCGGAUCUGGAAAGUCAGUCUUGAUUAGUGAAAGCUCAGUGCAGAAAGCAAAGGCUGUUCUGGAGGAAGAGGUCAAAAUAAACAGAGAUAAUCAUAAUCUCCUUAACAUGGACAAAAAUAUUCCUGUCUUUGCUUCACCUCUCAAGACAAGCUGUGCAAGAACAGUUAAUAUAUCUUCAGCUGGUGUAUCUCGAGCUGCUACUUUGUUGGGCUUGGAGGAGAAUACCCUUUCAACACAAUUUUUUGGACAUGUGGGCGAUAAGCUUGGCACGAAAAUAAAAUUUGAACGGAAAAAUCCAGAACAGAGGCUUGCAUCUGGUCCAACAGAAAACCAAGUGCGUAAGGAACCACACCGGCCAUUUGAACUUUCUAAUAACACAGUUUCUGAUUCUGGUGAACAUUCUAUCAGAUUCAGUACCGCGGGAGGCAGAUCAAUGGCUAUUUCUAGUGAUGCACUUCAACGUGCGAGAAGCCUUCUGGGUGAAUCAGAUCACGUGGUUUCAACAAAUAAUUUAGUAGGCUGCUCUUUGGCAUCUGCAUGUAAUGUUGAGAUGCCAAAUUCAACCGUCGCCCCAAAAGGUGGACCUGAUUUAUCAAAAAUAAGUAGGGUCAAUGGAAAAACCGAACUUACAACAUUUUCCCACCAGGCAAUGUCUGAUAGGAAGCACACUGGAUCCUUUGAAAAUGCUGUACCUGUUAUCCCGGCGACUAACAAACAACCCAAUAUGUUUCAUGUUGGGAGUCGUUCAAUCAGUGAAAUUCCAAAGAUCCCGAAGCCCUCUUCCAUGUGUUUAUCUGAAACUGACAAUGCAAAUGACACUAAAGAUAAGACCCAGCGACUCCAUAUGCCAGCUGGAGCGUUGGUUGACAUUAGUAACUUCAUGGGCACACAUUCUGGAAAUAUUGACCAUGCUGUUAAUGAGAAGAGAAGAAUUGAGGGAAGAAACACUGCAUCUUCCUUUAAACGCCCCCGCUCUUCCAGAUAA
This 2643-nucleotide ribosomal RNA is filed under the name Triticum aestivum (bread wheat). RNAcentral's name for it is "partial small subunit ribosomal RNA". Lineage: Eukaryota; Viridiplantae; Streptophyta; Magnoliopsida; Poales; Poaceae. The record is from RNAcentral.